RNAcentral lists this long non-coding RNA (1811 nucleotides) under Malus domestica (apple). RNAcentral's name for it is "long non-coding RNA (MDOM_LNC002523)". Lineage: Eukaryota; Viridiplantae; Streptophyta; Magnoliopsida; Rosales; Rosaceae. The record is from RNAcentral.
UUGGAAAUGUGCCCUAAAACCAAUCAUAUGAUGAUACUUUACAGACAUUUCAAAUGUUAAACUAAUCUAGUUUAACAUAUAAAGGGCAAAGAUUAUUGUUUGAGCCGUCUCAUAUAAAUGUUAUAUGCUUAAACGAUAAAGUCCAAGGAAUAUGUGAUUGGGAGAAUGCAAUCUAAUGAAGUUAGAUUAAUGAGACCAUUCUUUCGUAGACACUUCCUAAAUGUUCCUGAUCAUAGGAUUACCAAUUGGGCAUUGACAGUCCGUUAAGAUCAGUACGUACUGUGUCUUCUCUCAGGGAGAGUGACUAGUCUCGAGUCAUUGGUGUGUGUGACAUCAAGACAAGUACGUAGGUGCUCAAUAAGAGAAUGAGUUCACUGAACGUGAUCAACGAAGAGUUCUUAUAUUCCAUGUCACAUGAGAACUCAUGGUUGGGAUAAUGCAAAGUAGUCCUUUUACCUGAGGCAUCACAGUUGUCUUGUGGUUAAGUCCUUAAUCUUUGAUUAUGUCUAAUUCACCCCCUCGGGGUGUCACGGCAUCGUUGGGGUUAAGCCACUUAGCUAUGGAGACAAGUGAAUGCGCAACAAGGGAUCUCUAACCUUCAAACAGUUGAGGGAGAAUACUCUAUGAUAUGAUUUGGAAUCUCUGGCCAGAGUAUGAAUGAGAUUGGGGAAUGCGUUCCAAAUCACAUUCAAGGAAAUCAUAUAAGCAAACGAUUCACAUUGGAUAGUAGACAUGAGUAAAUAAACUAUCAUACCAAACAAUGUGGUCAAGAGUAUUAGAUUAGAGAAUGACCGUAUUGCAUUUGUAAUCCCGAACUGAAUAGGUUCUCCACCUCUUCUGAUUAGCUUGGGUAACUAUGAUAUGCUGCUAGGUGUCACUCAUGGUUUGUGGAAGCCCUAAACGUGUGUAAUCACUAAAGGGAGAAUUGAAAAUAGUUUCAAUUCACAAUCGAUGUAAAAUGGUUUUAAUCGCCCACUACCUCGCUAAAAGGAACCUAAUGGAUCGCACACCGUAAAAGGUAGAGAUUGGAGAUUAAACGGAAAUGAGUAAGAAUGAUUAAAUGGUUUAAUCAUUUAAUUAUGGCAAGGAUUAAUUAAUAUGUUAAUUAAUCAAACGAAUAAGUUCGUUAAAGACUUCGGGAUAGUUUUGGACCUUAAGGCCCAAUGGGCUUCGAACGUCAAGCCCAUUAACUUAAAUUGUAUGACAAUUUAAUGAAUAAAGAUUCAUUAAAGCCCAAAAGCCCAAACAUCCCUAAAUGGCCGGCCAUAUUAGAUGAAUUAGGGUUUUGGUUGUUUAGGUUACUUAAAGAAGUGACUAUAUAAAUGACUUUAUAGCCAAAAUUCAUUAAGGAAAAAUUAAGGGUUUAUUUUGGGGGAAAAUUGGUGAGAAUUGUCUCUCCAUUUUCUCUCUAAAGAGGCCAACACCUUGGAGGGUACAUCUAGCAAUCCUACUACUCCAAGGUCACUCAUUUCUUCUACAAUCAAACCUUGGUGAAGAGACUUAGAGGUUCCCUAUUUUGGGAACUUGGAGAAACCUAUUUUUCCAUCCAAAUCCAUGGAUCUAAGAAGCAAGGAAUGAAGGCCCUCUCUUUGGGUGAUUAGCCUUUGCUUAUGCAAAGAGGAAUCUACAAAGGUAAUAAUUUCAACUCACUUUGUUUUGAGUUGAUUAUUGGUUCACCAAUCUACUAGGCUUUGAAUUUCAUGAUAAUGUUUUGUUUUUGAGUGCAUGCAAGCAUGAUUCCGCAUUUUAAUUGUUAAUUGCAUGAUAUAUGAUGUUGCUCAAAUGAACAUGUUUUUCAAAAUAAAUCCUUC